GAUAUUUGCCUUGAUCGUGUCUGCACAACGACUCCGUUCGUAUUUUCAAGUGCACGCUAUCGUAGUCCUCACCAACCAGCCCCUGAGGGCAAUUUUGCGUCGCCCCGAUACAUCGGGACGACUGGCGAAAUGGGUGGUGAGGCUGAGUGAGUUCGACAUUCAGUACCGACCGUGACCUGUCCUGAAAGCCUAGGUCUUGGCUGACUUUAUUGCGGAGUGCCUGACAAU
Molecule: long non-coding RNA, 228 nt
Filed under: Elaeis guineensis (African oil palm)
Lineage: Eukaryota; Viridiplantae; Streptophyta; Magnoliopsida; Arecales; Arecaceae
Description: long non-coding RNA (EGUI_LNC046724)
Source: RNAcentral